GCCUUUGCUGUUAUGCAGACUAGCUAUCUCCACACUGUGGUCUUGCGCCAGAGACCACCCAGAUUGUAUUCACGGCAAGGGUUAGGCAGUGGCUGGUGCACUCAUUUUUAGAUUCAAGUGAAAGCGUGUUUAUGAUCAGUUAGUGUCUCAGCUCUUACCGGUAGAGUGGUCUACAGGUCCUCCGCCGUUGUUACUGAACAGGGCAGUAUACAGGUCAGGGUAUGCCUUCUCCAGGGCUACACACAGGUCGAGGAAAUGGUCGCUCUCCUUGUUCAUCAGCAUCUUCAAAAGGUGGUCUACUUUCUCGGCGCUGGACGAACAGUUCUGGUCCAGUUCGAACCUAUCGAGUUGACUCAAGGUACCGGAAACUAUCAGCAGCUCGAUCACUCGGUCCGCAUCUGUUAUGGACUCCAGUGCAAGUGAUGAUGCCUUUUUAGGCUAAACUUACCAUGCCAGCGUUGGAUAAGCUGUCAAGACCAAUGGAUGGAUAUCCACCAGCAGGCCCACCUCCCCAGCCGCCUACAACAGACAACAAAGGCAAAGCUGUUCAGGAAAGCUGAGGAUUUAACGAAUAAGUGAAAGAGUGCUGGACAGAGAAUGGGAGUACUAUGUGAAAGAUGGACUGCGGGACUUGCUUCUCUUAGCAACAGCAGAG
This is a long non-coding RNA of Micropterus dolomieu (smallmouth bass), 655 nucleotides long. RefSeq lists it as uncharacterized. NCBI's taxonomy places the organism in Eukaryota, Metazoa, Chordata, Actinopteri, Centrarchiformes, Centrarchidae. The record is from RefSeq and is a predicted model, not a curated record. The transcript has 3 exons.